AUCUAUGGCCUUACCACCCUAAUGUGCCUGAUCUUGUCUGAUCUCAGAAGCUAAGCAGGGUUGGGUCUGGUUAGUACAUGGAUGGGAGAAUGACUGUACCUCCUUGUGUUCUCACGAUAGUGCAAAGAAA
Molecule: ribosomal RNA, 130 nt
Organism: Pan paniscus (pygmy chimpanzee)
Lineage: Eukaryota; Metazoa; Chordata; Mammalia; Primates; Hominidae
Source: Ensembl